UGGGGAAUAUUGCACAAUGGGGGAAACCCUGAUGCAGCGACGCCGCGUGAGCGAAGAAGUAUUUCGGUAUGUAAAGCUCUAUCAGCAGGGAAGAAAACGCGUCGCAAGGCGCGCGUGACGGUACCUGACUAAGAAGCACCGGCUAAAUACGUGCCAGCAGCCGCGGUAAUACGUAUGGUGCAAGCGUUAUCCGGAUUUACUGGGUGUAAAGGGAGCGCAGGCGGUACGGCAAGUCUGAUGUGAAAGCCCAGGGCUCAACCCUGGUACUGCAUUGGAAACUGCCGGACUAGAGUGUCGGAGGGGUAAGUGGAAUUCCUAGUGUAGCGGUGAAAUGCGUAGAUAUUAGGAGGAACACCAGCGGCGAAGGCGGCUUACUGGACGAUGACUGACGCUGAGGCUCGAAAGCGUGGGGAGCAAACAGG
This 422-nucleotide ribosomal RNA is filed under the name uncultured bacterium. Its description in RNAcentral is "bacterial SSU rRNA". It matches the Rfam family "Bacterial small subunit ribosomal RNA", at positions 355 to 776 of the family's 1533-position model. The record is from RNAcentral.